ACGGAGGGGGCAAGCGUUGUUCGGAGUGACUGGGCGUGAAGCGCACGUAGGCGGUAUUGUAAGUCAUGGGUCAAAGACGACAGCUUAACUGUCGGCCGGCCUGUGAAACUAUAGUACUAGAGUACUGGAGAGGAAUGCGGAAUAUGUGGUGUAGCGGUGGAAUGCGUAGAUAUCACAUGGAACACCUGUUGCGAAGGCGGCAUUCUGGUCAGUAACGGACGCUGAGGUGCGAAAGCGUGGGGAGCAAACAG
This 251-nucleotide ribosomal RNA is filed under the name uncultured bacterium. RNAcentral describes it as "partial 16S ribosomal RNA". It matches the Rfam family "Bacterial small subunit ribosomal RNA", at positions 525 to 775 of the family's 1533-position model. The record is from RNAcentral.